CCUGCCACACGGAUUUCGUCGCCCCGCCCGUUCAAUCGCGCGGGCGCGCCCCCCUCCGUGAGUUCUUUUUUCCACCGCAGGGUUCUCUACCCUCUCAUCUGUACCCGCAAUCGGAUUGGCCUGGCAGCUUCAAUUCACAUGAGCCCUCCUUCCGUGAUUGCAUCCAAUCCCCGCGAAACCUACCCUCCUCGAUCGCUGCCUUCCCGUGCCCUUCCGUGAUUAUUGCAGCCGGCGCCCACGAGGAAGAGCUUGGCCUUCCGUGAUUGCAGCAGGCGGCCUUUCGUGAUUUUCUUCUAUAGACCAUCGUGAUUUCCUUGGUUUCUUGAUCCAGCCCGCCGGUUGCUGCCCCAUCCACCUGCUCUCCUCGAGCUGAAGCAAUUAUAUACGGCGGGCGGGCGUACCGGCCGGCACGGCGCUCGGAGAGGCGGUGGCCGGCGUAUCUAUGGAAGCUCCAUGCGUCCCCACGCCUCCGCGGAGGCCGAACUGCAACAGGCGUGGCGGCAGCUCGAUGGGGAGCAGCACGGGGGCGGGAUGCCGCACCGGGGACGUUGGUGCCUCUCUUUCUCCCAGAUCCGGCGGGCGCAGGAUCCAGUGCCGAGGAUGACCGGCGUGGGAAGGGCUCCGGUGGGGAAGGUCGGCGAGCGCGGAAUCUGGCCGUGGGGACUGCCGGUGCGGGCGGCGGCCGCGGGAUGCGGCUACGGCCGGUGCGUGUGGACCUCCGAUCCGCAGUGGACGAUGCCCGACGAAGGAUACGCAGAUGGAGAUGGGUCGGAUGUUUAGACUCAUCUGAAUGAGCAUCGCAUGAUGAGAUUUUUAUGAUCAUCGUCAAAGAUGAGUGAGCAGCUGGUGGUUCCAGAGGGGCUUCCCCUCUGCCUCCAACACGUGAAGGGAUCCCCUGAAGAUGACUUCAAUCUCCAUGUAGCUGCGUCCUUCCUGAGGUAUUCCUGUCCUCAUUUUUAGAUGUCAUGGUGCCAUGAUUUCAACAAUCUUUCUGCUACAGGCUUGCAAUCAAGAUGCUCAGUAUAUCAGCUCUAAUAUUAUAUUUAGUGGAAACAAUCAUUCUGCUUCAUUAAAUCACAUUAGAACACAAUUUGUGUGAAAAUUACUUUUGGCAUUUGAACUAUAAUAUGAAUCGUUGUAUGAUAGGUUAACUAUUCAGUUUGAGAAUUUGAGUACCUGAUUUAUAUCAUGGUUUAAAGCACCUCGUGAACUCUACCUUUAAAUUGAUAGUAUUCUGAGAUCUUUUAUUCUACAAGCUAAUCUCAUGAUCAUAAAAUUAAUUGGCGUCGUCCGAGCUGAGAACAAGGAUCGACAGUUCUAUAGUUUUAAUCAAAUCCUGGCAGAUCUUAUAUGAUAUGCUUGGAUAGCGGAGUGUGAUAAUUUUUUUAUGGUGAGUUUUGUUUGGCAGAGUUGUAGGGGUGCCUUUUGUCCCCCUUUCACAGUUCAUCCCAUUUGUUUAUUAUAAAUUCUGAUUUAUGGACCUACCUGAAUUUGAAGUUUCAGUUAGAUUAGUUUUACUUUUGCUCCCUGCAAUUUCGCCCAUCUACUUCUAAAAGAUUAACUUGGUACUUGUCAUGAUAGGAAGUUUUUUCCCUAAAUGGUUUUUUAUUUCAUGUUUGUUACUUUUGAGCUAUUUUCUUUUGGUUCUUGUACUUUGGGUCUGCAUGCUCAUGAGUAGGGUGGUAAUGGUUGUCUGAUGCCUAGAAAUAUUAAGAACCUGGUGUCGGGUACCACGAUUAGGGAUACCCUAAUCAGGGUACUAAGACCACCCUAAAAACACAAACACAUAUUAGGCAACUGAGCCCACGAAGGCCCACGGCCUCAUUCCCAAUCUGGAAGAAAGAAAGGGACUCAAAGAAGCCCAGCACGCGGCCCAUCCGCACCCCCCCGGACCCGCGGGAUGAUCUCCGCCUCGCUCGAGGGCUCCCAUCGGGACCCUCGACUGCGCCCCGCAUCUCCGCCUCGCUCGAGGGUAGCGAACCUACCCUCGAGCGGGCGAAACAUCUCCGCCUUGCUCGAGGGUAGCGAACCUACCCUCGAGCAGGACGAAUCAUCUCCGCCUCGCUCGAGGCCACCCGUCGACGUAAAGGACAAACGGCCCUUCCGCUCACCCGCCCGUCGUACGGAGGCAUUAAAUGCCAACCACUCCUCCACAGCGCGGACAGACGGCGUCAGGCCGCCAUUCCCCACAGUGGCUGUGACCGGAGUCCCGUCCGCCACGUCCGCCAACUCCGGUCACUGCUUCGCCAUCCCGGACGCUGUGGCAACACUGUGGAACCUGCGACGCGGGACGAGACGUGCUCGGCACAGCUCCCGUUACUAUUCUACCAACUCCGGCUGUCCGGACUCCGGACUCCACCUCACCACACGUAUGGCCCCGGGCCGGCCCCCUGCUCGGGAAGGGGUCCGGCGUCGCCACGUGCCCCUCAAGGAGGGACGCUCAGCGCUAGCAGCCGGAGGCCCGGACCUCCCCCCUCGAGGGGUCCGGGAUCUCCACGUGACUCCCGGACCUCCUUAGUGCACCCGCCAGCACUCCGUCCAAGGGGGGUCCGGGACCGCCACGCGCACCAUCACCGUUGGCGCACAUAUAUACGCAAGACCAUGACCUGCAGGGCUCAUGGAGCGCCACCACGCCACAUCUGGAGGACUGUACACCCUACAGCGACGACCACGCUGACUGCUGGAGCAGGCAGGACGCCGGUGCGAUCUCCGCAAAACAAGGACGAUACCCAGGACGACUGCCACGCCCGACGUCAUGCCCCACAGUGUACUUUCCACAGUGCUCGACCACUGCACCCCCGCGAUUCGGGGGAAACCGACGACUUCCACGUUCCCCUGCGCAUGUACACCGUCCCUCCUUGUGACUAUAAAAGGAGGAGGCGGGCUUCCUUUAAAGGGGACGUUCGCGAUCAUCGUCACGCAAUCCGACCACUCGAUAGAACACAACACUCAGCACCCGAUAUUGGCACUCGCCUCAAUCAACUUCUCCUCUAGCAGAGACUUGGGAACUUCCCUCCCUCUCUCGCCUCGCCUGUACCCCCUACUACAGAUACCUCCGGUGCAAGAUAAUACAGUGCCCUCGCACACCCCCUUUGCUGGACGUACGGCCCCGUGGCCGGAACCAGGAUAAACCCGUGCGUUACUGUGUUGCCUCUUGCAUCAACAUCUGGGACGAGGAAACACGCAGCAUUACUAGUUGGGAUCCGGACCGCCGGGUCAGGACACCGACACCUGGCUCAUGGAUGGCUGUCUGAUUUUGCAAAUAUCAUAUAUCCAUAUCAUGCAGAACAGGCUUGAUAGGAGCACUCCAUCUUCUGAUCGACAAAAUCUUGUGGACAUGUUUAAUGACCUUGAAAAUGCAAGAGUAAAAUGCGGGUUGAUAUCAACUCAUGCUGGAUCUCUGGGCAUCAAACAACAUGCUGCAAAUCAUGUAGUUCUUCUGGAUGCAUCCUUGAAUCCAGCACACGAUCUGCAACUGCAAGCCAUUUAUCGAGUUUAGAGGCAAGAACUUGUCACCUGAGUUGCUCAUUAGUUGCACUUGCGAUUAUUUAUUUGAGCUAUAGAUGCGAUUAUUUAUUUAUUCAGUGGGAAUAUUCUUUCCAGGUAUGGACAGACCAAAGUUGUAUAUGCUUAUUGCCUAAUGACACAUCGAACAAUGGAAGAGAAAAUAUAUAAGCAGCAGGUGGAUUGCAGGUUAACAUGAACAUGAAGCCCGUCUCCAAGGUAUCAAGCCUGGACAGCUUACUGAUUUGGGAGUACCUUACAUCCUGUGUUGCAAUUUUGAUAUGACAGCACGUUCCUGUUUAACCAGUGAUGUAACCAAAGGAGGUUAUCUUGAGGUUGGGGUAACAAAAGGAGGUUAUCUUGAGGUUCCCUAGGUGGUUUGGUUCGCCUUGAUAGACACUUCAUCAAGAACCCAUUGGUUCUUUUUCAGAAGUGCUCAACAUAACCUUAUCAAGCUUAUUUAGUAUACUGUGGAUGUUCUUGAAGCAAUGACAGGGUAUUCUUGAAGCAAUGGCCUACAUGGUUAUAUGCCUUUCACUGGCUUCAUUAGACAAUGGAAGAUAUUGUUCCUGGAAUUUAACUUGCAGAAAUGAUACAUAACUAUGCUUUGGCAAAAGGUGAGAACGACAAUUUCUGAUAGAACUAGCUGGUCCGCUUGGUGUUUGGUGAAGAUAAACAACCAUAAGGUAGUAAGGUACAUGACUAUGCUUCUAUUUUUUUUUAAAAAAAUACAUUUCCCCUACAUCAUGGCGUCAAUAUAAUCUGCAGCAUUAAGAUUAUAUUUUUGGUAAUUAUUUUCUCAUAUUCCUUUAUGCGUCAAUAUAACUUGCUCUUCAGUUGUGUUUCCUUCUCAGUUCUAUUGUCACAACUUCUGAUCUGUCACUAGCUCCACCAUAUUUUUCCUGUUACUCUACUUAAGCAGCUUCAUUGCUUGGUUGCACAUUGAAUGUCCUGACAAAUGGGAGCAUUGCUAGCAGAUUUCUCUUCUCUGGAUAACCGUACCAAACAUGAGGGAAUCGCCUUCAACACAAGGGGAGCCAUCUACGUCUGCUACAGUUUGUUGAAUUUCCAAAUUUUCCCUGCUGUUAUCCCAUGCACUGAAUUGCCAUAACUUCGUUCAACUCUUAUCCCUUGGUCAGGCAGAUUGCAGUGGAAGCCCCUCUCAAGAAAACACAGGUCAAAUUGUGCCUUCACAUGUUUUUUAGAAUAGAGCUUUGCUGUUUCAAGGCCUUGUAGAGCGUGCACAGAAAUUGUUCGGGAUCAAAGCUUUUUUUUUUUUUUGAAGAAAUGGAUCAAAGCUUACCUACAAUUGAGGAUGGGACAGCCGGAUUCUUGGAGAUCUUGGACUCUGUGUGGUCAGCAAAAGCACCAAACUGAAUGUCAUUGCGGAUGAUUUGUAAAAAUGCUUUCAAUGAAAGAUGUUAUCUGAACUGUCUCAUGUGAACCAUCUCACUGCUCUUCAGAAAAAAUGAGCAAAAGCUACCUGAUUCAGUUGUUUACUUGUUGGUUCCAGGCCAGUCGGUUACCACGCGGAUAGUGAGCUAUCAGUUUCCAACUUUUUUAUGCUAACAUUUUUAUAGGUCUGUUUAGUAACCAUGGAUACUUCUCCAAGAUGGGUCUAGCUUGUCAUAUUGCCAAAGUUCAUACUGAGUCUUCAUUGAGUAAAAACACAGGAGAUAAAGGAAUACAUAGAAGAAAUAUUUUGGGGUCAAGGAAAACGAGCGCUACUUCUCGGUCAUAGCAAGAGCAGUGUAGAUUUGGCUGCAGUACUCGUCGUAUUAGGUUAUCCGCGCUUGUCAUAUUUUAAAAUUUAUCCUCUAAAAGAAUAUUCUAUUCUGGUUAUUGAGUUUUUUUCUCUAUUUCCAUUUCUCUUGCACUCGUCAU
Long non-coding RNA from Panicum virgatum (switchgrass), 5388 nucleotides. RefSeq lists it as uncharacterized. The transcript has 8 exons. The record is from RefSeq and is a predicted model, not a curated record. NCBI's taxonomy places the organism in Eukaryota, Viridiplantae, Streptophyta, Magnoliopsida, Poales, Poaceae.